Molecule: RNA transcript, 2389 nt
Organism: Populus euphratica (Euphrates poplar)
Lineage: Eukaryota; Viridiplantae; Streptophyta; Magnoliopsida; Malpighiales; Salicaceae
Exons: 5
Source: RefSeq, a predicted model, not a curated record
CAAAGCUGUUUUGAUUUCCUCACCACAUAUCCCUCGUCUUUACGCUCACAAGGAGCUCAAAUGUAAUUAAACCGUGCUACUUGAUGAAUCAAGUUACUUGAUUAUUAAGCUUCCAAACAAUCCCCAUCAGUUUCACCACUCGCUUCCCUGCCAUCUCCGCCACCAUGUUGUCUGAAUCCACCGUGCCCCGUGCCGUACUCGUCUUCGCUUCCAUUUCCGUCUUCAUUUUGCUCCUCUACGGCGCUUCUGAUUCUCCACGCGUCCACUCUUCCUCCUCCGGUUACCCCUUUAACAUCUUCCCUUCUCGCCUCGGCGGCAGCGAUUCUAAAAUCCCAAUUAAUGGUGGUGGUGAUUAUAAUAAGCUGGAGAAAGUUCUGAAAGAAGCUGCAAUGGAAGAUAAGACAGUAAUAAUUGCUACAUUAAAUGAGGCAUGGGCAGCUCCAAAUACAGUUAUUGAUUUAUUCCUUGAAAGCUUUAGAAUUGGUCAGGGAACGCGCAGGCUCUUGGAUCAUCUGGUGAUUGUUGCUUUGGAUGAAAAGGCGUACAGGCGGUGUAUGGAAUUACAUACGCAUUGCUUUGCUCUUGUUACUCAAGGACUUGACUUUCAUGACGAGGCUUAUUUUAUGACCCAUUUCUAUUUGGAGAUGAUGUGGAGACGCAUUGAUUUCUUGCGCUCUCUUCUUGAAAUGGGGUAUAACUUUGUUUUCACGGAUGCUGAUAUCAUGUGGUUCAGGGACCCCUUUCCACGGUUUUUUCUGGAUGCUGAUUUCCAGAUUGCGUGCGAUCAUUUCUCAGGCAACUCCAGUGACAUGCGAAACAGACCCAAUGGAGGCUUUAACUAUGUAAAGUCCAACAAACGCUCAAUAGAAUUUUACAAGUUCUGGUAUUCUUCACGGGAGAUCUAUCCUGGAUACCAUGAUCAGGAUGUCCUUAAUUUUAUCAAAUUUGAUCCUUUCAUUGAGGACCUUGGAUUGAAGAUGAGAUUCUUGGACACUGCUUUCUUUGGGGGCCUUUGCGAACCUAGCAAGGAUUUGAAUUUAGUUUGUACAAUGCAUGCAAAUUGCUGUUAUGGUUUGGAUAGCAAGCUUCAUGAUCUUAGAAUUAUGCUUCAGGAUUGGAAAACUUUUUUAUCUCUGCCACCAACCUUGAUACGAUCACUUUCUGUGUCUUGGAGGGUACCACAGAACUGCAGUCUUAAUUAUGUACAUCAACAUGAUUCUCCGGAAAAAAGUGUUCAACAAACUUUGGGACAUUGAACUGCGUGGGAUACUUUGAGAAACACUUCCCCUUCGCUAGCAGAAUGAGAAGAUUUUAUGCUGGAGCUGGAAAAACUUUUGAUGAAGCUGAACUGGUCAAUCUAUAAGUUUGUUGUGAUAAAAUAUGCUGCUAAAAUGUUGGAAGGAAAGUACCUGUGACUCGUCUUCAUUUGAACAUUUGGUCCAAGGCAACCAAUCUUGUCUUCACUUGUCAUCUUCUCCAGUAGAUAGGCCUAGGCAUGUAUAGAACAUUGCUUUAAUCAUUGUUGGCUAGUCUUGUUAAUUAGUUUGAUGUAUUUCCUCGCUUCAGCAGCUAUCAGGCUGCGUUUAAUUAUGUUCUUCAUGGUGUUCUGGAAAACUUGCUAGCUAACAUUUUUGCUUGAAGUCGAGGUCGAUUGAUUCUAUGCUCCGCGUAAAUGAUUUGUAGUAAAGCUUUGGAGGGGCAAUGGUAUUUCCCCCCUGCCUUCUGAAGCUCUGUUUCGGCGAGGUUCUUGCAUUUGCGUGUUAUAUCUUUGCCCUAAAAUAUGAAAAGAGGGACAAAUGAUAUGGGGGUAUGACAGCUCGCUUUCCUUGAUUUGUUGAAAGGAUUUUCAGCUUCGCGUUGGGCCUGCUGGCAGUUCACAGACAAAGGUUGAUUUUCUUCUUCUGCACCCCCAUAUGGACUCUGGUUUUUAUAAGCUUAUAAUAAACCAAACAAAAAUUAGACGGAAAGAUGAGGGAUUCGGCAGCAUGGAGCUAGUGAAAAUCUUUUCUUCUGGCUCCCCAAACCUUUAUGAUCAAUUCUAGAGCACAUUAAAAAAUUCACACAUUCGAAGUACGAGCAUCCAAGUUGUAAUCUUGGAUCUAAACUGAUAUUAAAAUGCAUUCUUGAAAUCAACCAAUAAGAUGUCUUGAGUUGAUCCAAUAAAACCACUCAUCGUCGAACAUGAGAUCAUUCAUCCGGCAGAAAUCCCCAGUUCAAUCCUUGAAUGAAUCCCUUGUUCUCUCGCAAUCUGAAUUGAACCCCAACUGUUUCAUCCCAAUAUAUGUGGCUGAUUACGGUACAUCCAAAGCUCUCAAGAAUUAGCUAUCUAUCGUGAAAUCCCGGCAGAAAUCUCACGAAACCAAGUAACCAAAUCUGCAAAUACCAUCAA